UAAUACCGGAUAGAUCAAAGAAACUGGAAUGUUCUCUGGUCUAAAACUCUGGUGCCCAAGGAUGGGUCUGCGGCCUAUCAGGUAGUAGUGGGUGUAACGUACCUACUAGCCUACGACGGGUAAGGGUUGUGAGAGCAAGAGCCCUGAGAUGGAUUCUGAGACAUGAAUCCAGGCCCUACGGGGUGCAGCAGGCGCGAAAACUUUACACUGCGGGAAACCGCGAUAAGGGGACCCCGAGUGCCAGCACCUAGUGCUGGCUGUCCAGCUGUCCAAAUAACAGUUGUUAGCAAGGGCCGGGCAAGACCGGUGCCAGCCGCCGCGGUAACACCGGCGGCCCGAGUGGUAGCCGUUAUUAUUGGGUUUAAAGGGUCCGUAGCCGGCCUAUUAAGUCUCUUGGGAAAUCUGGCGACUUAAUCGUCAGGCGUCC
Molecule: ribosomal RNA, 427 nt
Filed under: uncultured archaeon
Lineage: Archaea
Description: bacterial SSU rRNA
Rfam family: Archaeal small subunit ribosomal RNA
Source: RNAcentral